ACGGAGGAUGCGAGCGUUAUCCGGAUUUAUUGGGUUUAAAGGGAGCGCAGGCUGCGAGGCAAGUCAGCGGUCAAAUGUCGGGGCUCAACCCCGGCCUGCCGUUGAAACUGUCUUGCUAGAGUUCGAGUGAGGUAUGCGGAAUGCGUUGUGUAGCGGUGAAAUGCAUAGAUAUGACGCAGAACUCCGAUUGCGAAGGCAGCAUACCAACUCGCGACUGACGCUGAGGCUCGAAAGUGUGGGUAUCGAACAG
RNAcentral lists this ribosomal RNA (250 nucleotides) under uncultured prokaryote. Its description in RNAcentral is "partial 16S rRNA". It matches the Rfam family "Bacterial small subunit ribosomal RNA", at positions 525 to 775 of the family's 1533-position model. The record is from RNAcentral.